RNAcentral lists this ribosomal RNA (488 nucleotides) under uncultured bacterium. RNAcentral describes it as "bacterial SSU rRNA". It matches the Rfam family "Bacterial small subunit ribosomal RNA", at positions 896 to 1382 of the family's 1533-position model. The record is from RNAcentral.
GAAACUUAAAGGAAUUGACGGGGGCCCGCACAAGCGGAGGAACAUGUGGUUUAAUUCGAUGAUACGCGAGGAACCUUACCUGGGCUAGAACGCAAUCGGAAUCAGGCCGAAAGGUCUGCGCCAGCGAUGGCCGGUUGCGAGGUGCUGCAUGGUUGUCGUCAGCUCGUGCCGUGAGGUGUCGGGUUAAGUCCCAUAACGAGCGCAACCCCUACUGCUAGUUGCCAGCGGGUCAUGCCGGGGACUCUAGCGGAACUGCCAGCGUAAGCUGCGAGGAAGGUGGGGAUGACGUCAAAUCAUCAUGGCCCUUAUGUCCAGGGCGACACACGUGCUACAAUGGCCGGCACAGCGGGAAGCGGAGGGGCGACCCUGAGCGGAUCCCUUGAAAGCCGGUCCCAGUUCGGAUUGCAGUCUGCAACUCGACUGCAUGAAGUUGGAAUCGCUAGUAAUCGCGGAUCAGCCAAGCCGCGGUGAAUACGUUCCCGGGCCUU